GACGAACGCUGGCGGCGUGCUUAACACAUGCAAGUCGAACGGAAAGGCCCUGCUUGCCGGGUACUCGAGUGGCGAACGGGUGAGUAACACGUGAGUGAUCUGCCCUGCACUUCAUGAUAAGCCUGGGAAACUGGGUCUACUACCGGGUAGGAGCCAAUUUUAGUGUGAUGGUUGGAAAGAUUUUUCGGUGUAGGAUGAGCUGGCGGCCUAUCGGCUUGUUGGUGGGGUAAUGGCCUACCAAGGCGGCGACGGGUAGGCGGCCUGAGAGGGUGGACGGCCACAUUGGGACUGAGAGACGGCCCAGACUGGUACGGGAGGCAGCAGUGGGGAAUAUUGCACAAUGGGCGCAAGCCUGAUGCAGCGACGCCGCGGGGGGGAUGACGGGCCUCGGGUUGUAAACUCCCUUCGCGAGGGACGAAGCUUUUUGUGACGGUACCUAGAAAAGAAGCACCGGCUAACUACGUG
This 465-nucleotide ribosomal RNA is filed under the name uncultured bacterium. RNAcentral's name for it is "partial 16S ribosomal RNA". It matches the Rfam family "Bacterial small subunit ribosomal RNA", at positions 28 to 507 of the family's 1533-position model. The record is from RNAcentral.